UACGUAGGGUGCAAGCGUUAAUCGGAAUUACUGGGCGUAAAGCGUGCGCAGGCGGUGAUGUAAGACAGAUGUGAAAUCCCCGGGCUCAACCUGGGAACUGCAUUUGUGACUGCAUCGCUGGAGUGCGGCAGAGGGGGGAUGGAAUUCCGCGUGUAGCAGUGAAAUGCGUAGAUAUGCGGAGGAACACCGAUGGCGAAGGCAAUCCCCUGGACCGGCAUGACGCUGAGGCGCGAAAGCGUGGGGAGCAAACCGG
RNAcentral lists this ribosomal RNA (253 nucleotides) under uncultured bacterium. RNAcentral's name for it is "partial 16S ribosomal RNA". It matches the Rfam family "Bacterial small subunit ribosomal RNA", at positions 524 to 776 of the family's 1533-position model. The record is from RNAcentral.